Molecule: ribosomal RNA, 258 nt
Filed under: uncultured bacterium
Lineage: Bacteria
Description: partial 16S ribosomal RNA
Rfam family: Bacterial small subunit ribosomal RNA
Source: RNAcentral
UGGCGGACGGGUGAGUAACGCGUGGGCAACCUGCCCUGUACCGGGGGAUAACAGCCGGAAACGGCUGCUAAUACCGCAUAAGCGCACGAGAGCGCAUGCUUUUGUGUGAAAAACUCCGGUGGUACGGGAUGGGCCCGCGUCUGAUUAGCUUGUUGGCGGGGUAGAAGCCCACCAAGGCGACGAUCAGUAGCCGACCUGAGAGGGUGACCGGCCACAUUGGGACUGAGACACGGCCCAAACUCCUACGGGAGGCAGCAG